GGUAUUGUAGCUCAGUGGAAGAGCACCUGCCUCGCAAGUGUGAGGCCCUGGGUUCAGUCCCCAGCACCA
Molecule: transfer RNA, 69 nt
Filed under: Marmota marmota marmota (Alpine marmot)
Lineage: Eukaryota; Metazoa; Chordata; Mammalia; Rodentia; Sciuridae
Also listed under: 1 other name
Rfam family: tRNA
About the family: Transfer RNA (tRNA) molecules are approximately 80 nucleotides in length. Their secondary structure includes four short double-helical elements and three loops (D, anti-codon, and T loops). Further hydrogen bonds mediate the characteristic L-shaped molecular structure. tRNAs have two regions of fundamental functional importance: the anti-codon, which is responsible for specific mRNA codon recognition, and the 3' end, to which the tRNAs corresponding amino acid is attached (by aminoacyl-tRNA synthetases). tRNAs cope with the degeneracy of the genetic code in two manners: having more than one tRNA (with a specific anti-codon) for a particular amino acid; and 'wobble' base-pairing, i.e. permitting non-standard base-pairing at the 3rd anti-codon position.
Source: Rfam by way of RNAcentral